Long non-coding RNA from Helicoverpa armigera (cotton bollworm), 360 nucleotides. RefSeq lists it as uncharacterized. The transcript is spliced from 2 exons. Lineage: Eukaryota; Metazoa; Arthropoda; Insecta; Lepidoptera; Noctuidae. The record is from RefSeq and is a predicted model, not a curated record.
GUCACUUUGUAGUGAAGAAUUUUGAUCGCAUUUUUCAAGACAAAAAUCAUAAAAUCAAGAUGUUCGCUGCCAGGAGCCUUUUCAAAGCCAAUGCCCAAAUCCUUAAAAUGUCGCUCAGACCAGGAACAUGAGCGUGAUCGCCACUCCUGCCAGAAACAAGGUGUCCACUGGCGAGAUGGUAUUCCUCAUCAGCGCCAUGGUGGUCGGCUGGUCUAUCGUCCCUCACUGGGUGCUCUGCAACAUCAAGAACUACAGGACUAAGGAAUAAGCGUUAUAAACACAAGCUUAGGCAAAUGUAUUGUAGAGAGCGUGAUAACAGUUCUAAAUGUAUUAUGUUAAGUAAAUGGUUAUUUUAACUUG